Molecule: ribosomal RNA, 505 nt
Filed under: uncultured bacterium
Lineage: Bacteria
Description: bacterial SSU rRNA
Rfam family: Bacterial small subunit ribosomal RNA
Source: RNAcentral
UAGUCCACGCCGUAAACGAUGAUCACUCGCUGUAGGCGAUACACAGUCUGUGGCUAAGCGAAAGUUUUAAGUGAUCCACCUGGGGAGUACGAUCGCAAGAUUGAAACUCAAAGGAAUUGACGGGGGCCCGCACAAGCGGAGGAACAUGUGGUUUAAUUCGAUGAUACGCGAGGAACCUUACCUGGACUUAAAUGUAGAUUGCAUAGCUUAGAGAUAGGCUUUUCUUCGGACUAUUUACAAGGUGCUGCAUGGUUGUCGUCAGCUCGUGCCGUGAGGUGUCGGGUUAAGUCCCAUAACGAGCGCAACCCCUAUCUUUAGUUGCCAGCACGUAAUGGUGGGGACUCUAGAGAGACUGCCGGCGUAAGCCGCGAGGAAGGUGGGGACGACGUCAAAUCAUCAUGGCCUUUAUGCCUAGGGCGACACACGUGCUACAAUGGCGCGCACAGGGGGUAGCCAGACCGCGAGGUUGAGCCAAUCCCAGAAAGCGCGUCCCAGUUCGGAUUGG